This 449-nucleotide ribosomal RNA is filed under the name uncultured bacterium. RNAcentral describes it as "bacterial SSU rRNA". It matches the Rfam family "Bacterial small subunit ribosomal RNA", at positions 355 to 825 of the family's 1533-position model. The record is from RNAcentral.
UGGGGAAUAUUGCGCAAUGGACGAAAGUCUGACGCAGCGACGCCGCGUGAGUGAUGAAGGCCUUAGGGUCGUAAAGCUCUGUUGAAUGGGAAGAAAAAAUGACGGUACCAUUCGAGGAAGGACCGGCUAACUUCGUGCCAGCAGCCGCGGUAAUACGAGGGGUCCUAGCGUUGUUCGGAAUCAUUGGGCGUAAAGGGUGUGUAGGUGGCUAAGUAAGUCAGGUGUGAAAGCCCCGGGCUCAACCCGGGAAGUGCAUCUGAUACUGCGUAGCUUGAGUACCGAAGAGGAUAGUGGAAUUCCAGGUGUAGUGGUGAAAUACGUAGAUAUCUGGAGGAACACCGGUGGCGAAGGCGGCUAUCUGGUCGAGUACUGACACUGAGACACGAAAGCAUGGGGAUCAAACAGGAUUAGAUACCCUUGUAGUCCCUGAGCGGGCUGGCAAGGCGCAU